Molecule: non-coding RNA, 2749 nt
Organism: Xyrichtys novacula (pearly razorfish)
Lineage: Eukaryota; Metazoa; Chordata; Actinopteri; Labriformes; Labridae
Source: the annotation of a GenBank genome assembly
GGGGAUGGGGGAUGGGGGAUGGGGGGGGGGGAUGUGGAUUCUUUUAAGAAUGUGGAUAUUUGGGUCAUCUUUGGCGCCCCCUAGAACGUAAACCGUGGGGUGCAGCGUCAUGAUUUUUACAACUUUGAAUGGCCAUGGGGUGCAGAUUGGCCUGAGCAAAUUUGGUAUCAGUGGAACGAAAGCCUUAGGAGGAGUUAGCCACAUUCCAAUGUGUGCUAAUCGGCAAAAAAUGCAAAAUAGCCCUUUAACCGUACAUUUUACAGAUACGCGCGCAUUGACUUUUUCUUAGAUCUUAUUGAGAUACAUGUGUGUGUCAAAUUUUGUGUCAAUAUGACAAAGCGUACAGGUAUGACAGUCAACAAUGUGUAUUUUCACCUCAUGGGACAAGAAAAAAAUGGACUUUUUUCUCCUGCCAUGGGGGGGCGCUCUUUUGGGGAGUAAAAAUUCCUUCACAAAUGUGUUGAUGGCUGGACAUUGCAUCAUCCUAGAAAACUUGGAGGCCAGUGAGGACAAAAGUAAAAAGUUAUAAGACUUUUAAGAAUGUGGAUUUUGGGUUAUCUUUGGCGCCCCCUAGAACGUAAACCGUGGGGUGCAGCGUCAUGAUUUGUACAACUUUUAAUGGCCAUGGGGGGUAGAUUGGCCUGCGCAAAUGUGGUGCCGGUCGAACGAAAGCCUUCGGAGGAGUUAGCGAAAUUCCAAUGUGUGCAGAUCUGCAAAAAAUGCAAAAUAACCCAUUAACCGUACAUUUGACAGAUACGCCCGCACUGACUUUUUUGUAGAUCUUAUUGAGAUACAUGUGUGUGUCAAUUUUUGUGUCAAUAUGACAAAGCGUACAGCCGUCAUGUGAAUUUUCACCUUAGGGGGCGCUAUGGAGCCAUUUUGCAUUUUAUUGUUUGGGCGACUUCAGAAUAUCGAAUUUUUCACCAGGCCCGGACAUCCUGCCAAAUUUCCUGAGUUUUCGCCAGUGGGAAGUGGGCCAUUUUCCAGUUUGAAGCGGAGGAAAAAUAACUAGGGCCCCGGUGGGGCACUGUCGGGCCCGAGCCGCGUCGCACCGCCCCCAGCGCGACCGCCUCCCCCUCCCGAUCGCGUCACACUCAAGGUCCAAAGAUGGUGUGCGCACUUGUCUGUGGUCAUUUCCCAUUAUAAUGAAUGGGAGGCGCAGUUUCUACCAAAACGCUCGCUGCAGACAAACUACAUGUCCUAUUUGAAAAAAGUCUGGACCAUGAGUGAGGGCAAAAACACAGCUAGGAUAUAUCCAAAUGGCAAGUUGCUCCUCCUUACGGUGUUGCCGGGAGAGCGAUGCGAUUGAGCCAUUGAGCGAUGGGCAGGGUUAACUUGACUUUUUCUCCUGCCUUGGGGGGGGGGGGGCGGGGGGGAUGUGGAUUCUUUUAAGAAUGUGGAUAUUUGGGUCAUCUUUGGCGCCCCCUAGAACGUAAACCGUGGGGUGCAGCGUCAUGAUUUUUACAACUUUGAAUGGCCAUGGGGUGUAGAUUGGCCUUAGCAAAUUUGGUGUCGGUGGGACGAAAGCCUUAGGAGGAGUUAGCCACAUUCCAAUGUGUGCGGAUCGGCAAAAAAUGCGAAAUAGCCCUUUAACCGUACAUUUUACAGAUACGUGCCCAUUGACUUUUUUCGUAGAUCUUAUUGAGAUACACGUGUGUGUCAAAUUUUGUGUCAUUUUGACAAAGCGUAUAGGCGUGACAGUCAACAAUGUGUUUUUUCACCUUAGGGGACAAGAAAAAAUGGACUUUUUUCUCCUGCCAUGGUGGGGGCGCUCUUUUCGGGAGUAAAAAUUCCUUUACAAAUGUGUUGAUGGCUGGACAUUGCAUCAUCCUAGAAAACUUGGAGGCCAGUGAGGACAAAACUAAAAAGUUAUAAGACUAUUAAGAAUGUGGAUUUUUGGGUUAUCUUUGGCGCCCCCUAGAACCUAAACCGUGGAGGGCAGCGUCAUGAUUUGUACAACUUUUAAUGGCCAUGGGGUGUAGAUUGGCCUGAGCAAAUUUGGUGCCGGUAGAAAGAUAGCCUUCGGAGGAGUUAGCGAAAUUCCAAUGUGUGCGAAUCGGCAAAAAAUGCAAAAUAGCCCUUUAACCGUACAUUUGAAAGAUAUGUGCCCUUUGACUUUUUCAUAGAUCUUAUUGAGAUACACGUUAUUGUCAAAUUUUGUGUCAAUAUGACAAAGGGUACAGGGGUGACACUCAAAAAUGUGUAUUUUCACCUUACGUGACAAGAAAAAAUUGACUUUUUUCUCCUGCCAUGGGGGGCGCUCUUUUGGGGAGUAAAAAUUUCUUCACAGAUGUGUUGAUGGCUGGACAUUGCAUCAUCGUAGAAAACUUGGAGGCCAGUUUGGAAAAAAAUAAAAAGUUAUAAGACUUUUAACACUGUGGAUUUUUGGGUUAUCUUUGGCGCCCCCUAGAACCUAAACUGUGGGGUGCAGCAAGAUGAUUUGUACAACUUUGAAUGGCCAUGGGGGGUAGAUUGGCCUGCGCAAAUGUGGUGCCGGUGGAACGAAAGCCUUCGGAGGAGUUAGCGAAAUUCCAAUGUGUGCAGAUCUGCAAAAAAUGCGAAAUAACCCUUUAACCGUACAUUUGACAGAUACGCCCGCACUGACUUUUUUGUAGAUCUUAUUGAGAUACAUGUGUGUGUCAAUUUUUGUGUCAUUUUGACAAAGCGUACAGCCGUCAUGUGAAUUUUCACCUUAGGGGGCGCUAUGGAGCCAUUUUGCAUUUUAUUGUUUGGGCGACUUCAGAAUAUC